RNAcentral lists this long non-coding RNA (272 nucleotides) under Mus pahari (shrew mouse). Its description in RNAcentral is "lncRNA (MGP_PahariEiJ_G0006188.1)". The record is from RNAcentral. Lineage: Eukaryota; Metazoa; Chordata; Mammalia; Rodentia; Muridae.
UUUAGAUCGGGACAUCCAGCUGCCACCAGAUUCCUUGCAGGGUGAGGGAACUGGGCUUCUCCAGUACAAAUGGGGGCCCUCCUAAUUAUUUGGAUCAGUUCGUCCUUAGUGACAGCGAUGUCUGUGAGCGCUUCUGUGCCUGGCAGCAACAUCGUCAGUCUGAUCCCAAAAGAUAACCCCAGCUGGUGUCACAAGACUGGCCAGCACACCCACUGAGACAUCUCGCUGCCCCAUUUCUCUUUGGAUGCUCCGUGAAAGGAGAUGCUUUUCUG